GAUGAACGCUAGCGGCAGGCUUAACACAUGCAAGUCGAGGGGCAGCGCGGGAUAGCAAUAUCCUGGCGGCGACCGGCGGAAGGGUGCGUAACGCGUGGGCGACAUGCCCGUUGCCCGGGGACAACCGGUGGAAACGCCGACUAAUCCCCGAUGGGAUAUUGUGCCGCAUGGCACGAUAUUGAAAGUUACGGCGGCGACGGAUUGGCUCGCGUCCGAUUAGCUGGUUGGCGGGGUAACGGCCCACCAAGGCUGCGAUCGGUAGGGGUUCUGAGAGGAAGGCCCCCCACAAUGGGACUGAGACACGGCCCAUACUCCUACGGGAGGCAGCAGUGAGGAAUAUUGGUCAAUGGGCGGAAGCCUGAACCAGCCAUGCCGCGUGCGGGAAGGAGGCCCUAUGGGCUGUGAACCGCUUUUGCCUGGGGGCAAUAAGGGCGUCGCGCACGUCCGAUGAGAGUACCAGGCGAAUAAGCAUCGGCUAACUCCGUG
This 486-nucleotide ribosomal RNA is filed under the name uncultured bacterium. RNAcentral describes it as "partial 16S ribosomal RNA". It matches the Rfam family "Bacterial small subunit ribosomal RNA", at positions 28 to 507 of the family's 1533-position model. The record is from RNAcentral.